GAUGAACGCUGGCGGCGUGCCUAAUACGUGCAAGUCGAGCGAAUGGAUUAAGAGCUUGCUCUUAUGAAGUUAGCGGCGGACGGGUGAGUAACACGUGGGUAACCUGCCCAUAAGACUGGGAUAACUCCGGGAAACCGGGGCUAAUACCGGAUAACAUCUUGAACCGCAUGGUUCGAAAUUGAAAGGCGGCUUCGGCCGUCACUUAUGGAUGGACCCGAGUCGCAUUAGCUAGUUGGUGAGGUAACGGCUCACCAAGGCAACGAUGCGUAGCCGACCUGAGAGGGUGAUCGGCCACACUGGGACUGAGACACGGCCCAGACUCCUACGGGAGGCAGCAGUAGGGAAUCUUCCGCAAUGGACGAAAGUCUGACGGAGCAACGCCGCGUGAGUGAUGAAGGCUUUCGGGUCGUAAAACUCUGUUGUUAGGGAAGAACAAGUGCUAGUUGAAUAAGCUGGCACCUUGACGGUACCUAACCAGAAAGCCACGGCUAACUACGUGCCAGCCGCCGCGGUAA
Molecule: ribosomal RNA, 515 nt
Filed under: uncultured bacterium
Lineage: Bacteria
Description: partial 16S ribosomal RNA
Rfam family: Bacterial small subunit ribosomal RNA
Source: RNAcentral